AAAUGACCCUCCUGGAAACAAUAAUUUCUCACGAUGUCUCUUUGCCUCUGUACAAGACAACACCCCCUCGCUACUGGGAGGGAAUGUUCGUUUGAGUAAAAACAAUUUAUAACCAGAUUUACAAAAAUUUUUGUUUCUGAGUUGGGCGAGCAGUAAGAGUUUAAGACCUGUAACUUUAAUUUUGUUUCAAGCUACUCUUCAAACAGGCAAGGGGCUUUUGUAGAAGAUCGUAAAAAAACAAAAAAGAACAAAGGAUAAAAGAGGAGGCCGACCUAUCGAUCGUACGACCGGGUGAAAGUCCAGUCGUCAGUGAGGUGAGUCUAUGGCCCUAUAGUGCUCUAUGAGGUCCAAUUUCACUCAUGACAAGUUGGCUGACUAGGUAAACGGGAAGAGAGACGCUCCGAAGAAGGAUAGCAAAAGGCUGAUCACAGUGAUUUUCAAUCUCAGUAAAGGUAUUCACAUAUUGGCAGAGGAAGAGCUCUCACAGUUAGGUAUGUAUGAAGGAGCUGUUUUUGUUGGAAAGGCAUGCAAAGACAUUUUGUGCUAUUAUGAAGCCAUCAAAUUGACCAGAUUGAAUCCACAUUUGAGAUGCAGCAGUUUAGUAAAUGUAGGUUUGAUAGCUGAUGUAUAAAUAAAAAGACAAAACUACCAUUAUAUCCUCAUUAUACUUGAUGUACAGUUUAAUUCUUUAAUGACAGAACAGCUGUGGAAAAAAGGUUAUCUUCUUGUGAAGUAAUGUGAAACUCAAAUUCUGCCUUUUAUGUAUCACACGAUUUUAUUCAGUAUAUUGUUUCCACAGACCAGCCAAAAAAGGAUGCAUAUUUUUGGUGGAAACUUUAAUGGGGAAGGGAAUUUUUAUAAUUAACUGGACUUUUAAAUUUUGACUCUGUAUCUCACUCCUUUCUUUCCUUUUCUUCUUUGUACACAAGCAAGUUUUCUGCAAAGCUACUAAAUGGCUUCACAAACUUUCCAUCUCUGAACAGAAAGGUUUUGGAACAAUGUUGCCAAAGAUCAAGACUGUGACAUGCCUUGUGGCAACUGGAGAUUUCAGAUUUUUGUUGAGAAAAACAAGAGAUUUGGCUAAAAACAGGGAGAUCCCUAGAAUUUGUUGAAUUUAUAAACAACAUCUGUCAAAAAAAGUCAUGUUGGAAAAACAGUUAAUGACAACAAUUAUCGUGGGUAGGGUCUUGCUAAUGGUUUUUAAUGUUUUCAUUAAUUUGUAAACACUACCAAAAAACUUUGUCACGGAGAAAGUCAUUUCAAUCAUUUUUGUUUUAAGAAAACCUCUGCUGAAAGACUAGAAAUACAGGGAGAAAAUCGGAAAAAAACUAGGAGACCGGGAUAAAGCAAGCAAAACCUGGAACCUCCCAGCAAAAUCAGGAUAGUUGACAGGUCUAAAAAGAUUGACAGGUUGACAGGUUGACAGAUAAAAAUCAAAGUCAUAUCUAUACAAACCUGGGGUGAAAUGGACAUCAAUUGUUUCAUUGCUGCCUUUUAUCAAAACACACGGUUGGGAAGUGCAGGGGCUAACAUCAACCUCAGAAAUAAUGCUUUUUGAGCCUGCAAAAAAGUAUGCAAUGGUGGGUUGGUGUUGUGAAAAUUUUGAAAAGCUACCAGUUAAAGUUGAAAAGCACAGUCCAGUACAGGGCAGUCAAUAUGUUACCAUAUAGUAAACAUCUGACUGAUAAACAAAAUUGUGAUUAAAGAAAUUUCUCCUGUGCAUAAUUUGUCUUAAAGUUAAAACAAAAUAUCAAAUACAGGGACCAUUGACAAAAAUUUUAUGCAAUGGCAUUCAAGCUCCUUGGAUCACAUGACAAACUUGCAUCAGCAAACAUAGUAAACUUCAAACUACCUACUGUAUGUAGUUUUUCUUUUUGUAAAAAAAUUGUUGUUUGUGGUUCAUGUAUUAGAUAUAAAUGUAGUAGUUAAUUAUUGCUGUGAAUAAAAUGUUUGAGUUUGAAUUUGUAUCAGAGAAUAGAGAAUUCAAAGCAUAAAUUAUUUUUAGAAUAAUUUACUCAUAGAGAGCAAAAUAUUUCCAAUGGUGCAGUAUAGUUUUAUAGUUUUGCAGUAUAGUAUUACUGCAAAGGUGCAGUAAUGUAAAGUGGUUUCAAGAAAAAUGGAGUCCCACCCAAUUAGCAAGCAUUGUUUUAGAAAUUGGAGGAAGCAUGUGCCCCGGCUCCACAAACCACUCACAAUAAUGUGCAGAAUAGCAGAACUUGGUAGUGUUUUUUCAAGUCUACUGUACUUAUCGGUUGAUUGCGCAAUAGUGCCAAAAUGGGACGGAUACAGAAUCGACAAUAGGCCAUAGUUGCUCCGGGAAGUGGGUGGUGGUCUUCUUCUGCAAUGUGCUUCCUUUUAUUCAAAUUUGGCCUGCAUGUCAACAAAUGCCGGCUUUUGGAAAAGAAUAGAUAAGUUUUAUUUUUAAAAAAAAUUUGCUUCACUUUGUUAAAAAAGCUGAUAAUAAAAAAAGAAGAAAUUCAACUCACCGCAGUCCUUGUAUUUCACCAUCAUGGCUUGCGAAAUACCGAUAAAAAACACAAGUGUUAUGAGAACUUUUGCGAUUGAUUUCGCCAUUUCUGAUUUGGACGAGUGUACAGUCAAUCUCUUAGCCAACCUAAAAACCAAGUGUUUUUGUGGACAACUGGUUUACUUUUACAUCACGCGUCAGUAAACCGGCUGUUGUUGACGUAUGGCUUAAUGUCAACCGGCCUAUAUAAGGACAUUUGGGGGACAUGGAUCCCGCAGCUGUACA
Molecule: non-coding RNA, 2752 nt
Organism: Rhopilema esculentum
Lineage: Eukaryota; Metazoa; Cnidaria; Scyphozoa; Rhizostomeae; Rhizostomatidae
Source: RefSeq, a predicted model, not a curated record